RNAcentral lists this ribosomal RNA (407 nucleotides) under uncultured bacterium. Its description in RNAcentral is "partial 16S ribosomal RNA". It matches the Rfam family "Bacterial small subunit ribosomal RNA", at positions 28 to 526 of the family's 1533-position model. The record is from RNAcentral.
GACGAACGCUGGCGGCGUGCCUAAUACAUGCAAGUAGGACGCAGUUGCGAACGGGUGAGUAACGCGUAGGUAACUACCUAUUAGAGGGGGAUAACUAUUGGAAACGAUAGCUAAUACCGCCUACUAGUCGAUGGACCUGCGUUGUAUUAGCUAGUAGGUAGGGUAAUGGCCUACCUAGGCAACGAUACAUAGCCUACCUGGGAGGGGGAACGGGCAACAUGGGAAUGGGACAAGGCCCAGAGUCCUACGGGAGGCAGCAGUAGGGAAUCUUCGGCAAUGGGGGGAACCCUGACCGAGCAACGCCGCGGGAGUUGAGAAGGUUUUCGGAUCGUAAAGCUCUGUUGUUAAGGAAGCGGUACUUAACCAGAAAGGGACGGCUAACUACGUGCCAGCAGCCGCGGUAAUAC